Molecule: ribosomal RNA, 253 nt
Filed under: uncultured bacterium
Lineage: Bacteria
Description: partial 16S ribosomal RNA
Rfam family: Bacterial small subunit ribosomal RNA
Source: RNAcentral
UACAGAGGUCCCGAGCGUUGUUCGGAUUCAUUGGGCGUAAAGGGUGCGUAGGCGGCGAGCUAAGUUUGGUGUGAAAUCCUGGGGCUUAACCUCAGAAUUGCACUGAAUACUGGUUUGCUAGAGGACUGGAGAGGAGAGUGGAAUUCCUGGUGUAGCGGUGAAAUGCGCAGAUAUCAGGAAGAACACCCGUGGCGAAGGCGGCUCUCUGGAACGCAACUGACGCUGAGACGCGAAAGCGUGGGGAGCAAACAGG